GCAAGUCGAGCGGAAACGACACUAACAAUCCUUCGGGUGCGUUAAUGGGCGUCGAGCGGCGGACGGGUGAGUAAUGCUUAGGAAAUUGCCUUGAUGUGGGGGAUAACCAUUGGAAACGAUGGCUAAUACCGCAUAAUGCCUACGGGCCAAAGAGGGGGACCUUCGGGCCUCUCGCGUCAAGAUAUGCCUGGGUGGGAUUAGCUAGUUGGUGAGGUAAUGGCUCACCAAGGCGACGAUCCCUAGCUGGUCUGAGAGGAUGAUC
Molecule: ribosomal RNA, 262 nt
Filed under: uncultured bacterium
Lineage: Bacteria
Description: partial 16S ribosomal RNA
Rfam family: Bacterial small subunit ribosomal RNA
Source: RNAcentral